RNAcentral lists this unclassified non-coding RNA (341 nucleotides) under soil metagenome. RNAcentral's name for it is "partial contains 5.8S ribosomal RNA, internal transcribed spacer 2, and large subunit ribosomal RNA". The stretch from base 1 to 120 matches the Rfam family "5.8S ribosomal RNA", at positions 35 to 154 of the family's 154-position model. The record is from RNAcentral.
GAUGAAGAACGUAGCGAAAUGCGAUAAGUAGUGUGAAUUGCAGAAUUCAGUGAUUCAUCGAAUCUUUGAACGCACAUUGCGCCCUUUGGUAUUCCAAAGGGCAUGCCUGUUCGAGCGUCAUUUGUACCCUCAAGCUUUGCUUGGUGUUGGGCGUCUUGUCUCUAGCUUUGCUGGAGACUCGCCUUAAAGUAAUUGGCAGCCGGCCUACUGGUUUCGGAGCGCAGCACAAGUCGCACUCUCUAUCAGCAAAGGUCUAGCAUCCAUUAAGCCUUUUUUUCAACUUUUGACCUCGGAUCAGGUAGGGAUACCCGCUGAACUUAAGCAUAUCAAUAAGCGGAGGA